Long non-coding RNA from Alosa alosa (allis shad), 618 nucleotides. RefSeq lists it as uncharacterized. NCBI's taxonomy places the organism in Eukaryota, Metazoa, Chordata, Actinopteri, Clupeiformes, Clupeidae. The record is from RefSeq and is a predicted model, not a curated record. The transcript has 5 exons.
CUUCAGUUGAGAUUUUGAAAAGAAUGCCUCAAAGACUGACGCCAUUGAAGUUCAGCAUGGAAUAGUAAAAGGGUUGGCAAAAUGCUCAUCAAAGUCCAGUACCGUGGACUAAAAAAAGUACCUCAAACUGCAUCCUGGUUUUUCUUAUGAAAGUUUCAUUGAAGAAGAAUUUGUGCCAGCAGGUUCUUCUACUCUAAUUUCUUCAAGUGAUAUGGAGAGGUCCUCUUCAAACAAGGGACAUCAAUCUCCUGGUGCAGGAGAGAACACCUCUGCCAUAGGGGAUGCAGCAGAAAAGGCCAAAUGAUGGUCCAGGAGGUUCUGGAGAAGAGUUCAGGGGGAGAGGAAACAAUGGAGGAAUAUAAGAGAUUGAGCACCGUGACAUACUGCACAAGACGGCAUCAUAUCCUGGUCAGCCACAUUGUUGAAAUGCAUGGGAACUCUGGAUCUCAUUCAUAGUCACAAUUGGGUCCUUGGUUACCUGUUUGACCAAGGCCCCUUUGUCCCAGGAUUACUCAGUUUGGCUUUCUUUUUGCGGAGAGUUGGAGGAUUUUGUGUAGAUGUUGAUGAAGAUGAUAUGUUUGUUAUAUCUCUAUUUUUUUUUUUCUCAACGUCAGGUUU